Eupeodes corollae is the source of this 1719-nucleotide long non-coding RNA. RefSeq lists it as uncharacterized. Lineage: Eukaryota; Metazoa; Arthropoda; Insecta; Diptera; Syrphidae. The record is from RefSeq and is a predicted model, not a curated record. The transcript is spliced from 2 exons.
UCAAGGUGCUUGCUCUCUCUAAGUAGAUCGCAUAUAAGCUCGAUAAUAGGUGUCAUAACCGGACACUGUCUAAUAGGAAAGCACGCCACGAGACUAGGCGUAUUCUCAAAUGACUUUUGCAGAAGCUGUAUGGACGAGGAUGAGGAAGAAACAUGCACAUGCCCAAGUCUGGAUCGAAAACGCAAGAUUUACCUAGGAGAAUUCUUCAUUAACGAUCUAAAUCAUAUCAGUAUAAUCAACCUCUCACGUUUCGUAAGGGACUCAAACUGGUUCCAUUGAGCUUAGGAGGAAGCCUCAAGAUUCAUGUGGUCUCACAAUGGGCCAUUAAACUGGCCUAAGUGUGUCCGUUUCCAUCUUGGACAGCCACUAUAACCUAACCUAACCUGACCUAACCUGAAUUAAUAAUGCAGUUGACUGCAAACGAAGUCCUUAAUGUUGUCUAAUCCUUUUUUUUCAAUUAGCGGCCACUCAAGGGGUUAUUAACAACCCUAAUAUGUUUAAGUUUUAAACACAGUGCGAGCUUUAGGAAAAUAGGAAAGGAUUAAAGAGAAGAUACCGAUGCACAUUGGUCUUAAGGUUUUGAAUAUCAUAAUGAUAAAGACAAACUAAGUAAGGUAAAGCAUUCCACAUUCUCGAUGUGUGGUUAAAAAAGGAAUCUCUAUACUUGAUAGUACGUCUGAAAUUGAGCUCAAUGUUAAACUAAUGUGCAUUCCUAAAAGUACGAGUAUUCCCUUCCCAACGAAGGGAAUGAAACAUUCCGCCGGUGUUCUAGUGACGUAGUUGUUUCGGUUAUAGUUCUAUCGCCUAUCAUUUUCAAAGCCCUUUUUUGGAUCCUGUACAAAAUACUUAAACUUGUUUUAGGUUUACCUGCUCAUGAACGGAAGUAUGCGAACUUAUAAUAAUCAACUCUCGAGUUCAGAUUUAGAAUAGUGAAGAAAAACAACUUGUGUCUCAACAGUCAAGUUUGUGUCAACUCUAGAGUUAACCAACUUACUGUUCAGAGAGGGAAGACUUCGACGACGACGACAACGACGAAAACAACGUGAGAUAAGAGGAUGGUGGUGGUGAAGGUGAUGAUGUCUGGUGUGUGAUGAUUAUAUAAUGAAUAGUUUUUCUUGUAUGAACUACUCUAUUCAAAAUCAUGCUACUACCUACACUCCUACACCUACUGCCUGCCUGCCACUGCUACUGCUACUGCUACUGCAAUGCAAUUCAUAUUCAACCCUCCUCCAAAUUCACUUACCUUUUAGUUAGGAGCAAUCAAGGUUUUUUGUGUACUAUGGAUGAAGAAGUGAAGAAAAAAAGAAUUAGUCCAACUCAGAAAACCAAGUUUUUCCUCCUUCAGCUUCGGUUUUGUUGUUGCUGUUGUUGGUGGUAUUGCCUGAGAGCUAUAUUAUAUUCCUUCUCGUCCCAGUUGUUUUUGUUGUUGCUGCAAGUUUUAUAUCUUUUGAUUUUUCUUCUUAAUUGUUUGUCGUUGUCGUGGAUUGAGUUUUUUUUUUCGAACAAAACGGCAAACGGCGAGCCCGAGCACACCAACCAAAUCCAGCAAUAAACGAAAAAAAAAAGAAUUAAGCAAAGAAGAGAUCCGCACCCAGUUUUACUUAUUUUUACAACUUCUUAACUUUUGUUCGAAUAUUUCGAGCACACACGCAACGAAAAUUAACAAUUUUCCUAAUAAAUUAUCAAUGAAAAGCGAAAUUAAGUGAACUGUACUUUAUU